Molecule: ribosomal RNA, 253 nt
Filed under: uncultured bacterium
Lineage: Bacteria
Description: partial 16S ribosomal RNA
Rfam family: Bacterial small subunit ribosomal RNA
Source: RNAcentral
CACGGGGGGAGCAAGCGUUGUUCGGAAUCACUGGGCGUAAAGGGCGUGUAGGCGGUCAAGUAAGUGGAAUGUGAAACGCCUCGGCUUACCCGAGGACCUGCAUCCCAAAUUGCUUGGCUUGAGUAUGGGAGAGGAUGAGGGAAUUCCUGGUGUAGCGGUGAAAUGCGUAGAUAUCAGGAGGAACACCGGUGGCGAAAGCGCUCAUCUGGCCCAAUACUGACGCUGAGGCGCGAAAGCUAGGGGAGCAAACGGG